Molecule: ribosomal RNA, 113 nt
Filed under: Parachlamydiaceae bacterium
Lineage: Bacteria; Pseudomonadati; Chlamydiota; Chlamydiia; Parachlamydiales; Parachlamydiaceae
Description: partial 23S ribosomal RNA
Rfam family: Bacterial large subunit ribosomal RNA
Source: RNAcentral
GAUAAGGUAUCCCAAUGAGACACCAUGUAGACCACGUGGUAGAUAGGUUGGAAGUGUACGCAUAGUAAUAUGUUUAGCUAACCAAUACUAAUAAGUCCAUUGGCUUGACCACC